AGAGUUUGAUCCUGGCUCAGAUUGAACGCUGGCGGCAGGCUUAACACAUGCAAGUCGAACGAUGAAAUCUAGCUUGCUAGAUGGAUUAGUGGCGAACGGGUGAGUAAUGCUUAGGAAUCUGCCUAUUAGUGGGGGAUAACCAUCCGAAAGGAUGGCUAAUACCGCAUACGUCUUACGAGAGAAAGGGGGCUUUUAGCUCUCGCUAAUAGAUGAGCCUAAGUCGGAUUAGCUAGUUGGUGGGGUAAAGGCCUACCAAGGCGACGAUCUGUAGCUGGUCUGAGAGGAUGAUCAGCCACACUGGGACUGAGACACGGCCCAGACUCCUACGGGAGGCAGCAGUGGGGAAUAUUGGACAAUGGGCGAAAGCCUGAUCCAGCCAUGCCGCGUGUGUGAAGAAGGCCUUUUGGUUGUAAAGCACUUUAAGUGGGGAGGAAAAGCUUGUGGUUAAUACCCAUUAGCCCUGACGUUACCCACAGAAUAAGCACCGGCUAACUCUGUGCCAGCAGCCGCGGUAAUACAGAGGGUGCAAGCGUUAAUCGGAAUUACUGGGCGUAAAGCGAGCGUAGGUGGUUACUUAAGUCAGAUGUGAAAGCCCCGGGCUUAACCUGGGAAUUGCAUCUGAUACUGGGUGACUAGAGUAGGUGAGAGGGAAGUAGAAUUCCAGGUGUAGCGGUGAAAUGCGUAGAGAUCUGGAGGAAUACCGAUGGCGAAGGCAGCUUCCUGGCAUCAUACUGACACUGAGGUUCGAAAGCGUGGGUAGCAAACAGGAUUAGAUACCCUGGUAGUCCACGCCGUAAACGAUGUCUACCAGUCGUUGGGUCUCUUGAAGACUUAGUGACGCAGUUAACGCAAUAAGUAGACCGCCUGGGGAGUACGGCCGCAAGGUUAAAACUCAAAGGAAUUGACGG
This 908-nucleotide ribosomal RNA is filed under the name uncultured bacterium. RNAcentral describes it as "bacterial SSU rRNA". It matches the Rfam family "Bacterial small subunit ribosomal RNA", at positions 8 to 916 of the family's 1533-position model. The record is from RNAcentral.